GAAAUAUGAGGUCUUUGGCUCCUUUCCCAGAACUGCCAGGCUAAGACCUUGGCAGAGACUCAACAGGAAACUGAACACUAUUUGCAUAUCCUUUUAUACAUGGGAGAUUAAAAGCUUCAACCUUGAGUGAUCACAGUUUUUAAGAAUCAUGAUGAGGCAUUAAAGAGAAGGAGGAGCGUCUCAAGGGAGGUGAGCUGGAGGCGAAGCAAGACUGCAAGCUCUUCUUAGCAGGUGGAAGUUUCCCCGGAUCUCAGAGAGUUUCUUUCCAGCAUGUGAUUUGGCACAGGGGCAGUACGUUGAAAAGAAGAGUAGGCAAGAAACCUUGAGUCUGGAGUCUCUUCAGUUUGUUGGCACGGAAGAGGAAGAGUUAUCAGCCAGCACUUCCUGUCUGAGAUGCCACAGCAGGCUAAGACCCUACCUAAAGCCUGAAUUCACUGAAGUGCUUUCUGGUGUCAGUUUGCUCAUUGUGAAUGCAGAGAAUCGGAAAUGACAGAUCUUGAGCCCCUUUGCUCUCUUCGUAUGACGGAUAAUAAGUCAAUAAAAAUGGAAGAGACAAACUCAUACUUUGCCACACAGUAGAGAUAUCUGUAGAUGGUAAAUUUAGCCGUCCUGUGGAUCUGCCAGAGACCCAUAGAAUUUCUCAGGUUCUCUUCACAUUAGCCCCAGACCCCUGUAGCUGCCAUUCCAGGCAGACCUGCCGAGAAGGAAAGGAGAAGGCAGUGAGUACGUUAGCACCCCCAGAAACUCUAAAAGAGUCCAACAAGAUAUCACAUUUGACAAACAUCAGAGGGGAGGAAUAAAUAUGUGGUUCAUUUCCUGUGUUGUGGCCUGGGAGAAAAGCUGCUGACCUAGGGGUGGGGCUCAGGAGCACAAGUGCUAUCUCCCCUGGAUAGUAGCUGUCUUCCUUCAGAGGGAAGGGGGAGGUGCGAGGUAUCUCAGGAGAACAGCCUGGAAGCUGAAAUUGCAGCUGGUGUU
RNAcentral lists this long non-coding RNA (975 nucleotides) under Zalophus californianus (California sea lion). RNAcentral describes it as "lncRNA (ENSZCAG00015023669.1)". Lineage: Eukaryota; Metazoa; Chordata; Mammalia; Carnivora; Otariidae. The record is from RNAcentral.